Molecule: transfer RNA, 75 nt
Filed under: Halobacteriales archaeon SW_7_71_33
Lineage: Archaea; Methanobacteriati; Methanobacteriota; Halobacteria; Halobacteriales
Description: tRNA-Val
Rfam family: tRNA
About the family: Transfer RNA (tRNA) molecules are approximately 80 nucleotides in length. Their secondary structure includes four short double-helical elements and three loops (D, anti-codon, and T loops).
Source: RNAcentral
GGGUUCGUGGUCUAGGUCGGUUAUGACACCUCCUUGACAUGGAGGAGGUCGGCGGUUCAAAUCCGCCCGAACCCA